Long non-coding RNA from Thalassophryne amazonica, 480 nucleotides. RefSeq lists it as uncharacterized. Lineage: Eukaryota; Metazoa; Chordata; Actinopteri; Batrachoidiformes; Batrachoididae. The transcript is spliced from 2 exons. The record is from RefSeq and is a predicted model, not a curated record.
UCUGAGAGGACACAUGAUAAUUCAUACAGGACAAAAACCAUUUGGCUGUUCUGAAUGUGGUCAAAGAUAUGGACUAAAGAGUACUUUGGACAAACACAUGAUUAUUCAUACGGGACAAAAACCAUUUGGCUGUUCCGAGUGCAGUCAAAGAUUUGGACGAAACAGCACCUUGAACAGACACAUGAUUAUUCAUGGCACCGCUACCAGUGCUGCCAGGACUCGUCUGUCUUGUGCCAUCACUCAGCUGGAUAACCCACCAGAUCACAAAAGUACUGUUCCUGAACCCCAGCAACAACAAUCUCAUAGUGCCAAAAGAAAGUAGAAAAACUGCAACACUGAAUUGAUCCAUUGAUGAGAAGAAAAAGAUCUUACACUGCUUUUCUUACUCAAAAUAUAAAAGUGGGGCAGGGAAAAAAAGGCAGUAUUUGAGGAAAGAAUAAAAGAAGUGGAUCUACCAGCAGAGAAGAAAUAAGACACCAC